GACGAACGCUGGCGGCGUGCUUAACACAUGCAAGUCGAACGCUGAAGCUUGGUGCUUGCACUGGGUGGAUGAGUGGCGAACGUGUGAGUAAUACGUGAGUAACCUGCCCUUGACUCUGGGAUAAGCCUGGGAACCUGGGUCUCAUACUGGAUACGACAUGUCACCGCAUGGUGGUGUGUGGAAAGGGUUUUACUGGUUUUGGAUGGGCUCACGGCCUAUCAGCUUGUUGGUGGGGUAAUGGCUCACCAAGGCGACGACGGGUAGCCGGCCUGAGAGGGUGACCGGCCACACUGGGACUGAGACACGGCCCAGACUCCUACGGGAGGCAGCAGUGGGGAAUAUUGCACAAUGGGCGAAAGCCUGAUGCAGCGACGCCGCGUGAGGGAUGACGGCCUUCGGGUUGUAAACCUCUUUCAGCACGGAAGAAGCGAAAGUGACGGUACGUGCAGAAGAAGCGCCGGCUAACUACGUG
RNAcentral lists this ribosomal RNA (472 nucleotides) under uncultured bacterium. RNAcentral's name for it is "partial 16S ribosomal RNA". It matches the Rfam family "Bacterial small subunit ribosomal RNA", at positions 28 to 507 of the family's 1533-position model. The record is from RNAcentral.